RNAcentral lists this ribosomal RNA (497 nucleotides) under uncultured bacterium. RNAcentral describes it as "partial 16S ribosomal RNA". It matches the Rfam family "Bacterial small subunit ribosomal RNA", at positions 28 to 507 of the family's 1533-position model. The record is from RNAcentral.
GACGAACGCUGGCGGCGUGCCUAAUACAUGCAAGUUGAGCGAUGAAGAUUGGUGCUUGCACCAAUUUGAAGAGCAGCGAACGGGUGAGAAACGCGUGGGGAAUCUGCCUUUGAGCGGGGGACAACAUUUGGAAACGAAUGCUAAUACCGCAUAACAACUUUAAACAUAAGUUUUAAGUUUGAAAGAUGCAAUUGCAUCACUCAAAGAUGAUCCCGCGUUGUAUUAGCUAGUUGGUGAGGUAAAGGCUCACCAAGGCGAUGAUACAUAGCCGACCUGAGAGGGUGAUCGGCCACAUUGGGACUGAGACACGGCCCAAACUCCUACGGGAGGCAGCAGUAGGGAAUCUUCGGCAAUGGACGAAAGUCUGACCGAGCAACGCCGCGUGAGUGAAGAAGGGUUUCGGAUCGUAAAACUCUGUUGGUAGAGAAGAACGUUGGUGAGAGUGGAAAGCUCAUCAAGUGACGGUAACUACACAGAAAGGGACGGCUAACUACGUG